This 200-nucleotide ribosomal RNA is filed under the name uncultured eukaryote. RNAcentral's name for it is "partial 18S ribosomal RNA". It matches the Rfam family "Eukaryotic small subunit ribosomal RNA", at positions 588 to 802 of the family's 1831-position model. The record is from RNAcentral.
GCUCCAAUAGCGUAUCUUAAUGUUGUUGCAGUUAAAAAGCUCGUAGUUGAAAUUCUGGACCGGGUAGGUCUCCUCUGGAGCACCAUCACCGAGUUCAUCCGUCUGGGGACAGGACCGGUAAUUAAUUUUGCCCCCUGUACAACCAGGCAUUUUUACUUUGAAGAAAUUAGAGUGUUUCAGGCAGACUUUCGUUUGAAUAC